Molecule: ribosomal RNA, 253 nt
Filed under: uncultured bacterium
Lineage: Bacteria
Description: partial 16S ribosomal RNA
Rfam family: Bacterial small subunit ribosomal RNA
Source: RNAcentral
UACGGAGGGUGCGAGCGUUAUUCGGAAUUACUGGGCGUAAAGCGCGUGUAGGCGGGGAGGCAAGUCUGAUGUGAAAGCCCCGGGCUUAACCUGGGAAGUGCAUUGGAAACUGCUUUUCUUGAGUGCUGGAGAGGAAGGGGGAAUUCCCGGUGUAGAGGUGAAAUUCGUAGAGAUCGGGAGGAAUACCAGUGGCGAAGGCGCCCUUCUGGACGGCAACUGACGCUGAGACGCGAAAGCGUGGGGAGUAAACAGG